GAGCACGUAGGUGGGUUUGUAAGUCAGAGGUGAAAGCCUGGAGCUCAACUCCAGAACUGCCUUUGAGACUGCAUCGCUUGAAUCCAGGAGAGGUGAGUGGAAUUCCGAGUGUAGAGGUGAAAUUCGUAGAUAUUCGGAAGAACACCAGUGGCGAAGGCGGCUCACUGGACUGGUAUUGACGCCGAGGUGCGAAAGCGUGGGGAGCAAACAGGAUUAGAUACCCUGGUAAUCCACGCCGUAAACGAUGAUAACUAGCUGUCCGGGCACUAAGUAGAGGGG
RNAcentral lists this ribosomal RNA (279 nucleotides) under uncultured bacterium. RNAcentral describes it as "partial 16S ribosomal RNA". It matches the Rfam family "Bacterial small subunit ribosomal RNA", at positions 565 to 843 of the family's 1533-position model. The record is from RNAcentral.